GACGAACGCUGGCGGCGUGCUUAACACAUGCAAGUCGAACGGAAAGGCCCUGCUUUUGUGGGGUGCUCGAGUGGCGAACGGGUGAGUAACACGUGAGUAACCUGCCCUUGACUUUGGGAUAACUUCGUGAAACUGGGGCUAAUACCGGAUAGGAGCUCCUGCUGCAUGGUGGGGGUGGGAAAGUUUCGGCGGUUGGGGAUGGACUCGCGGCUUAUCAGCUUGUUGGUGGGGUAGUGGCUUACCAAGGCUUUGACGGGUAGCCGGCCUGAGAGGGUGACCGGCCACAUUGGGACUGAGAUACGGCCCAGACUCCUACGGGAGGCAGCAGUGGGGAGUAUUGCACAAUGGGCGGAAGCCUGAUGCAGCAACGCCGCGUGGGGGAUGACGGCCUUCGGGUUGUAAACCGCUUUCGCCUGUGACGAGGCGUGAGUGACGGUAAUGGGUAAAGAAGCACCGGCUAACUACGUG
RNAcentral lists this ribosomal RNA (468 nucleotides) under uncultured bacterium. RNAcentral's name for it is "partial 16S ribosomal RNA". It matches the Rfam family "Bacterial small subunit ribosomal RNA", at positions 28 to 507 of the family's 1533-position model. The record is from RNAcentral.